RNAcentral lists this ribosomal RNA (447 nucleotides) under uncultured bacterium. Its description in RNAcentral is "partial 16S ribosomal RNA". It matches the Rfam family "Bacterial small subunit ribosomal RNA", at positions 29 to 523 of the family's 1533-position model. The record is from RNAcentral.
AACGAACGCUGGCGGCAGGCUUAACACAUGCAAGUCGAACGCCCCGCAAGGGGAGUGGCAGACGGGUGAGUAACGCGUGGGAAUCUACCGUACCCUACUGAACAACAGUUGGAAACGACUGCUAAUACCGUAUACGCCCUACGGGGGAAAGAUUUAUCGGGGUAUGAUGAGCCCGCGUUGGAUUAGCUAGUUGGUGGGGUAAAGGCCUACCAAGGCGACGAUCCAUAGCUGGUCUGAGAGGAUGAUCAGCCACAUUGGGACUGAGACACGGCCCAAACUCCUACGGGAGGCAGCAGUGGGGAAUAUUGGACAAUGGGCGCAAGCCUGAUCCAGCCAUGCCGCGUGAGUGAUGAAGGUCUUAGGAUUGUAAAGCUCUUUCACCGAUGAAGAUAAUGACGGUACCCACAGAAAAAGCCCCGGCUAACUUCGUGCCAGCCGCCGCCGUAA